Molecule: long non-coding RNA, 1127 nt
Organism: Bos taurus (domestic cattle)
Lineage: Eukaryota; Metazoa; Chordata; Mammalia; Artiodactyla; Bovidae
Source: Ensembl
UCAUUUUCUGAAUGUUGAGCUUUAAGCCAACUUUUUCACUCUCCACUUUCACUUUCAUCAAGAGGCUUUUGAGUUCCUCUUCACUUUCUGCCAUAAGGGUGGUGUCAUCUGUGACUGCAUAGACUAUAGCCUUCCAUGCUCCUCUGUCCAUGGAAUUCUCCAGGCAAGAAUACUGGAGUGAGGAGCCAUUUCUUUCUCCAGGUGUCUCUGAUGAUAAAGAAUCUGCCUAUGAUGCGGGAGAUCCACGUUCAAUACCUGGGUUCAGAAGAUCCCCUAGGAAAGGGAAUAGCUACCAACUGCAGUAUUCUUUGGAGAAGGCAAUGGCACCCCACUCCAGUACUUUUGCCUAGAAAAUCCCAUGGACGGAGGAGCCUGCUAGGCUGCAGUCCAUGGGGUCGAUAGAGUCGGACACGACUGAGCGACUUCACUUUCACUUUUCACUUCCAUGCAUUGGAGAAGGAAAUGGCAACCCACUCCAGUGUUCUUGCCUGGAGAAUCCCAGGGACGGUGGAGCCUGGUGGGCUGCCGUCUAUGGGGUCGCACAGAGUCGGACAUGACUGAAGUGACUUAGCAGCAGCAGCAGCAGCAGUAUUCUUGCCUGGAGAAUCCUAUGGAAAGAAGAGCCUGGUGGGCUACAGUCCAUGGGGUUGCAAAGAGUCUGACAGGACUGUGUGACUAAUGUUGUUCGGAAGUCAUAAUUAACAUCUGUCUCAGAAAUCACUUAGCAAUCCUUCACUUGUCAGGGAAGGAAAUUGAAGCUCAGAGAAGGUAACUCCAGAGUUGCAUUGUUAAUUAGUGGCAGUAUUAGAUUUCUAGUCAGAUGUGCUUUCCACCUUACUCUGAUGACCUGCUCAGCGACAGUUCUAAAAGAAUGCCAGUGGGAAGACAGCAAAUGGCUAUGUACAUGCUUUUGGGUUGGUAUGUGAUAUGUGAACUAGGGGGCUUUCCCAGUGGCUCAUCAGUAAAGAAUCUGCCUGCAAUGCAGGAGACAUGGGUUCAAUCCCUGGGUUAGGAAGAUCCCCUGGAGGAGGGUUUAGCAACCUGCUCCAGAUUUCUUGCCUGGCAAAUCCUACAGACAGAGGAGCCUGGCAGGCUAUGAUCCACUGGGUCGAAAAGAGUCAGACACA